RNAcentral lists this long non-coding RNA (1990 nucleotides) under Cyanistes caeruleus (blue tit). RNAcentral's name for it is "lncRNA (ENSCCEG00000002502.1)". Lineage: Eukaryota; Metazoa; Chordata; Aves; Passeriformes; Paridae. The record is from RNAcentral.
CUAAGAAUUUAGCCUGGAGCAAGCUGGGAGCACCGGAGCAUGCAGCCCUUUCCAGGGCUGUGUCAGCUGAGGGGGCAGAGGGAACCCAGCAGGGAUCAGACACAAAGCAGCAGCGGACUGAACCCCUGUGGUGGCUGCAAGCAGCUCUACGCUUUGGUCACUGCUUGUGGCAUUUUUUAUUAAACCAUCUCAGAGAUCUUCUGUUGUGCUCUGUAUUUCUAAGUGUCUGUCCUCUUGGUGUUGUCUUCUUCACCAUUAUUUCUCCGAAUUUUCCUACCUUGUCAGCAGCAGCCCCUGUCCAGAACUUUGCUAUAUGAGCAAAACGCAGCUGGGAACAGCAAUGCAUAGAAUCCUACAGCUCAGGAGCUCUCAUGUCAGAGUCCUGACUGAGCCUUAUGAGCACCUCCUUUGAGCCUUAUGUGCACAAAAUAAUGAUUGGUGGAGUUUUUUUGCCUAGGAGCUCUUGAGAAGCAAAUGUUCUGCUGAGAUUCUCAUGAGUGUAUCCAGUACAGUCAUUCCUGAGAAACAGUAAGUCCAGGGUAGCAGAUCAGCUAGGAGCUGGUCACUCCCUGCAAAGGAGUUAUGUAGGAACACCACGUUCCAGGAUGGGCAAUAAGGGUAAAUGUGCUCAGGUUGCAGUAGGUGAGGUUUAGGUUCACCUAGAGGGCAGUCAGGGGUGGUGAGCACUGGCAGAUGCAGCUGCAGUCCCCAUGUUCCUUUCAGUGGUGGCUUUAAGGUGUCUGCAGCCUGGAUCCAGAGCACCCUGGGGGCUCCUGGGGCUGGCUUUGCACUCAGGGUGAGGAUGCCCAGGAGCUGCUGGGGGCCAGCAGUGGGGACGAAGGCUGGGGCUUGCAGGCUGGGACGUGUGGCUCUGGGGGUUAGGACAUACCAGGGCAUGAGUCACAGUGGGAGCCUGGUAGCCCAGUGACAUGGUUCUGCUGGCUGUGGCAUCACAGAGGACGACAGGUCACACUGGCACCUGUGUCCAGGGGCAGCAGCAGGCAGUUGAACUCUGGCAGCACACGCAGUGGGAAUGCUGGGCUGGAUGGGGGCUAGCAAAGCCAGGCUGGGGGUUUAAACCCAGAGUGAGAACUGGGACCCUCAGGACUGCCAGUCCAGUUACCCCCAGUGGGCUGAAGGUGGACAUAAAAACUCAUAAGGAUGUGGCCAAGCAGAUGCAGGAGCGUGAGGAAUUUUUGCAUCGGGAGAUGAGUCGGCUCCUACAGGAAAUUGAGGAGAACAAUUCCACGAUGAAAAGCCUGUUCCUUUCCGCACAGCAGCUGCCAUGGCUUACUUGGCUCACUGAGGCUGUUCUGCUGUCUGUGGCCUUCUGGCUGGUCAGGAGAUGGAAGUGGCGCUCUGCCAGCAGCAGGAGGCAGGAGGGAUCCAGCAGCAAGGAGAAUGGCAACAGUGAGGAGAAGGCUGGCAGCAAGGAGCAGGACCCACUCAGCACGAAGGUGCUGAAGGAGCUGUUGGACGAGCUCCUCAGUGUCUGCCGAGUGCUGUCCCGGAGGAGCUUCAUGCCAGAGCUGCACCCAGCCACCGGGACAGGCACCAGCUCUGAAGCCUGGAGCAUCCAGGAGAACAGCAGCACCUACUGCCCUCUGGUCAUCCUGCGGCCACCCCUCGGCCACUCCUUCAGCCCGGAGAGCACAGAGCAGCCGCCAGCCAGGCGCAUCCGUGUGGUGCUGGAGUGCCUGUGCUCAGGGGAGCAGCUGCUGGGGCAGAUGUGCUUUCUCCACACCUCUGGUGGCCAGCUGCCCAGGGAUCAGGAGUGGUACCUGCUGGACACCCUCUGCACAGGCUUGUUGUAGUUUAGGGCAUAAGCACUGCGGAAGAAUUCGGGAUGUAACAGAAAGCCAGCAACCCACCCCCCUCUCUAGGAUAGUAAAGCCUCCUGCAAUUAGCCAAUAGCACCCCAGGUGUGACGAAGGCAAAUGGGAGUAACACAAUGACCCUAGGUUAUAAAAUGUUAAAUUCCCCUGCAAUA